GCAAACUUGGUCAUUUAGAGGAAGUAAAAGUCGUAACAAGGUUUCCGUAGGUGAACCUGCGGAAGGAUCAUUAUCGAGUUAGGGUCUCAUGGCCCGACCUCCAAACCUGUGUUUAAAAUACCUCUGUUGCUUUGGCGGGCCCGUCUUUGGACCGCCGGCGGUCAGCAAUGACCUCUGGCCAGCGCCCGCCGGAGACCCCUUUACAAUCAGUUGAAUGUGUCAUUCUCAGCUAAGAAACAAAUAGUUAAAACUUUCAACAACGGAUCUCUUGGUUCUGGCAUCGAUGAAGAACGCAGC
Molecule: unclassified non-coding RNA, 297 nt
Filed under: uncultured fungus
Lineage: Eukaryota; Fungi
Description: partial contains small subunit ribosomal RNA, internal transcribed spacer 1, and 5.8S ribosomal RNA
Rfam family: Eukaryotic small subunit ribosomal RNA (bases 1-73)
Source: RNAcentral